Molecule: long non-coding RNA, 736 nt
Organism: Passer domesticus (house sparrow)
Lineage: Eukaryota; Metazoa; Chordata; Aves; Passeriformes; Passeridae
Exons: 4
Source: RefSeq, a predicted model, not a curated record
GCCGGUGGGUCCGCUGCUCGGGGCUCGGGGCGUUCCGCGGAGCUCUGUCAGGCCUGAAGUGCGAGUUCCUGGACAGUUUGGUCUCUGUCUUGUGCAGCGACUCCAGCUCCCUGGUCAUUUGUGUCCUUGGAAGCUGGGGGCGAAGGCUAGAGCAAAGCCUAGCUGAACGGGACUUUUUUUCUGUGACAGCUUGCACUAGGCCCCAAAUCCCCCUCUAAGUGGACCACAAUGAAUCACUCUUACAUUGAUCUUCAGGCUGCUGGCUCACAGUGUGAAAUCCAUUUGCAUUGUAGUUUUGGAAGUCCCAUUCCAUGGUUCACUAAGGAGCUGUGAAUUAUGUCACCAACAUGGAAGGUGCUCAUGUACCCCAGUGUUUGCAGGACGUUGUUUGUCUCCUCUGUAACCUGCAACAAUACACUCUAGGAAGGAGUAGAAAACCUACUGGCAAAGGAGUGCCCUAAGAAUCUCCUUUCAAGUCAGAAGACGGCAAGUUUUGCCAGUGGGUGGCACUGUGAAAUAGACUUGAGAGGAGCAGCCGAAAGGAAAAGCAAGCGGUACAGCAAGAAAAAGACAAGACAGGAGAAUAACUGUUGGAAAUCAAAUACUUCUGACACAUUUACAGAAUUUAUGGGUUUUCAAUAUUUGUUUACUGUUUUCAUUUCACACUUUCCACGUUACAUAUUGCAUUGUGAAACUGCUGUGUACUGCUAUCAGGAAAUAAACAUUUUGGAACAUA